RNAcentral lists this long non-coding RNA (1105 nucleotides) under Macaca fascicularis (crab-eating macaque). Its description in RNAcentral is "lncRNA (ENSMFAG00000050510.1)". The record is from RNAcentral. Lineage: Eukaryota; Metazoa; Chordata; Mammalia; Primates; Cercopithecidae.
CCUGGACCAUUCCGGAAUUUUGAAUGGUCCAUUAUUUGUUAACAUUCUUUCAGGCUCCACCUACUUAAACUCUUCCCUUUCAGUCUCAAUUUGAAAACUUGCUUUCUAGGUUAACUAAAUUACUAUGUUGUGCCCUUGAUCAGCAUUCUGCACAAACACUGUAUGUUCUUGUUCUUGUUAAUCUAGUUUACAGGCAAAAUAUAAUCUAAUUACAUAAAUAGCUGAAGGAAGUAUUUUCAGUAUUUCCUGCUGAUUGGGUAAUUCACGAAUUACUAAGAAUUUCUUUGGUUGAACAUUUCAAGACUUAAAAGUUACAAUAAUUUCAGUUAUUGUUUUUUCCUUAAGGAUUAUUUGCUUAGCAGAAAAACUGGAAAACAGGGCUUACUAUGAGAUGUCAGAACCAGUCCUGCAAUCCCGAGACACCUUCGCAGCCGCAUUUUACUUCUGUUUUUGCAACAGGAAUGGAAGGUGAAAAGUAGGAGAAAACAAAAAUAAAAGACCAUUCAUUCUAAAGGAAGCAAAAUAGGUAGAGUAAGAUAUUUUUCCUUUCUUUAAAAAAAAAAAAAAGAAAAGAAAAGAAAGAAAUGUGGAGCAAGGGACAUAUGAGAAGUUUCCAAGAGAGUAACUUGUGAUACAGAAUGCCUAUAAGAGGAGGAGCUGUCUAAUGAAAGUGCAGAAUCUCCAGUGCCAUGAAUAUUGGAGUGACAUAUACCCAGCAGCUCCAUCCUGUAGGGCCACCUCCAGAAGCUGAAGAUGAAAGAGUAAUGGAAAAGCAGACCACUAUCCUCCUCUCAUUCUCUCUCUCCUAAGCCACAUGUUAUGCCAACAGAGGACAGAAAAGCUUUGAAUCCAGUAUAAAAUUGCAACGCUAAAUUCGACUGAUAAGAAAGUUAUGGAAUCCACUCGAGACAAUUUUAAGUGUCUGUGACAGAACAUAUAUAUGGCCCAUUGAAGAACAAUGAGUAGAAUAAAUGCAAAACGUGUCAUGUUUAUACCCUAUUGAGACAGACAUCUCAAUAAACUGAUUAUAAAAUUAUAACAAGCUAACACUAAAAUCAUGUGCCUUUCAAAAAUUAUUUUCCUGUGAUUCUUAUAACAUAAAGUA